AGAAUAUUAUAGACGGGGCAGGGAAGGUGAGGAGUAGGAGAAUAUUAUAGACGGGGCAGGGAAGGUGAGGAGUAGGAGAAUAUUAUAGACGGGGCAGGGAAGGUGAGGAGUAGGAGAAUAAUAUAGACGGGGCAGGGAAGGUGAGGAGUAGGAGAAUAUUAUAGAUGGGGCAGGGAAGGUGAGGAGUAGGAGAAUAUUAUAGACGGGGCAGGGAAGGUGAGGAGUAGGAGAAUAUUAUAGACGGAGCAGGGAAGGUGAGGAGUAGGAGAAU
RNAcentral lists this long non-coding RNA (271 nucleotides) under Pelobates cultripes (western spadefoot toad). The record is from RNAcentral. Lineage: Eukaryota; Metazoa; Chordata; Amphibia; Anura; Pelobatidae.